Molecule: unclassified non-coding RNA, 320 nt
Filed under: Hevea brasiliensis (rubber tree)
Lineage: Eukaryota; Viridiplantae; Streptophyta; Magnoliopsida; Malpighiales; Euphorbiaceae
Source: RNAcentral
AGCAGGAGGAUUCCAGGAGGGGACGUUCCAAGCUGGAACGAUGGACAAGCCACAAGGAAAGAGACUUUGGUAUCAAUGCUAAAUCAUCUUCCUUGAACAUGAAAGACAGCAAUGUACACAAGGGCACCGGUACUUCAUUAGCUAACAAAAAUCAAGAUGAAGCUUUAAAGAUGGUCGAAGAAAAUCAACAACCUGCAGCUAACUAUAAAAAUGGAGGUGCCCCUGAGAUUAAUAGCCUAGAAACAAAGCCUGUGGAGGAUAAACAUUUGGAGACAGUUGAGAAGUUGAAGAAGCGUAGUGAGCGCUUCAAGCUUCCAAUG